CUGGUUUGCCGCAGAUGCAGAUACUAUCUCUUUGAAAUACUGGGAUCAGGAAGUUUUGCUCCCAGGAGGUCAUGGUCUUAUGGUACGGGGUUAUCGACCUGUUAUAAAUACCCUUGCAAAAGGUCUUGACAUUCGUCUUGGUCACCGAGUGACAAAAAUAUUCCGUGGUAAGAAGGGAGUAGAAGUUACUGUUGGCAAUGGUAAAACAUUCGUAGCAGAUGCUGCUGUGAUUUGUGUUCCUCUAGGUGUUCUGAAAUCCAACUCGAUUAAGUUUGAGCCGAGACUUCCCGAAUGGAAGGAACAAACAAUAGCAGAUAUUGCAGUUGGAACGGAG
Molecule: unclassified non-coding RNA, 334 nt
Filed under: Hevea brasiliensis (rubber tree)
Lineage: Eukaryota; Viridiplantae; Streptophyta; Magnoliopsida; Malpighiales; Euphorbiaceae
Source: RNAcentral